Molecule: long non-coding RNA, 195 nt
Organism: Jaculus jaculus (lesser Egyptian jerboa)
Lineage: Eukaryota; Metazoa; Chordata; Mammalia; Rodentia; Dipodidae
Exons: 3
Source: RefSeq, a predicted model, not a curated record
AGGCAAUCCCAAGUUAUCAAGGCAAUGAUAUUUGUUCUGCUUCCUUUCAGCUUGGAAGAAAGGCAGAAAAAGAAGAAAUAAGAAAAUUCCGACCAUGACAAGGAAGGCACGAAUAUUGUCGUCCAUCAUGAACAUAUUUCAACGAAAUAGGACAAACCGUCAGGAGAACCAUCCCAGUGACGAGCGUGAGGAAGA